CAUCUGGUAUAAUUGGUAUGUUUACAAACUUUUACUUUUCAAUAUGUUAAUGCAUUUCUUGGCAUUUCUUCACAAUAUUUAUUUUUAUUUCAACUUUGUUAACCUUUAGUUACAUUUUCAGCUGCUACAAGUGAGCUUACCUAUCAUGCCUAUAGAAGAUAUAGGCACCAGCACCCUGAACGGAUUAGCAAUCGGUCAUUUUUGUGAUGGGUCUGGUUAGGAGGGAAUGAUGGUGAAUCAUUCAGCUAAGCCUAUCAUCCUCCUAAUAGGGUUGCUGGGAGCUACAGCAGAAGAGGAAGCCGUGGAGGAGGUCGUGGGGAAAGGUGGAAUGGUUCCGACUUUGUCGUGAAUGGUGGCAUACACUAUUACUAGACAAAUAUUGAAAAUUUUUCAAAUUAGUUUAUAUGGUUUGGUGUGCCUACAGUUAUGGCUUAGUCACUAAGUUACGAAAACGAAAUACACUAACAAUAUUCAGACAUGUGUUUAAGAAACAAUUUGGCUGGCCAAAAGAAGGAAAUGUUGAGUUUUAAGAGUUAGUUUGUGUUGAUUUAUGAUUAACAACAGAAAAUACAUUACUUCAACAAAUUUUAGUUUUUUACACAUAAAAGUUAUGAAAAAUAUGAAAUGAUUUAUCUAAAUCUAAAUCUGCUGUGAAAUAAAUUUAAUAUAUAAUCAGGAAAUGUAGCUCUAAGACAACAUGAAAUUCAACAAUAAAUUUUGGUCCAUGAUAAUUGAAAUACGUUAUGUUUGACUAAUCAUGAAUAUAACUAUUAUAUAUAUUAAUAUUCCCUGCAAGAUGCCUGUUAAAAAGAAAAACUGAAGAAACUUCAAAACUAGAUGAUGGCAACUGAAGAAGCCUCUACUUCAAUCUGGCUAUUGUUAUAACACGUAUAUCGGUUUAAUACUGUAUCGAGUUAGCUUGUGAUUUGUACGUGUGUUUUUAUUUGCCUAGUUUUGUUAGUUAUAUGCAAGAUAUGACAUGGUAUGGCACACUGCAUGUGUAAAAGUGGAUGAAAGCACUAAAGAAGCGUAACGAUAAACUUUAUGGUGGCGAUAUGAGAGAACUAAUGUGGCAGUGGUUAUGGUGGUGAUAUGAGAAAACUAAUGUGGCAGUAUAUUACUAUCGUAGAACAGUUUUGCAUCAAAUCAUUGAAUAAUAUUAGUUUUUGCUUUGCUUUUUUUUUUUUAAGUUGCUUAAAAUAUUAUGAAAUUCAAA
Hydra vulgaris (swiftwater hydra) is the source of this 1216-nucleotide non-coding RNA. The record is from RefSeq and is a predicted model, not a curated record. Lineage: Eukaryota; Metazoa; Cnidaria; Hydrozoa; Anthoathecata; Hydridae.